RNAcentral lists this transfer RNA (68 nucleotides) under Darevskia caucasica. Its description in RNAcentral is "tRNA-Met". Lineage: Eukaryota; Metazoa; Chordata; Lepidosauria; Squamata; Lacertidae. The record is from RNAcentral. RNAcentral also lists the same sequence under 1 other name.
AGUAAAGUCAGCUAAUUAAGCUCUUGGGCCCAUACCCCAAACAUGUUGGUCAAACCCCUCCUUUACUA